RNAcentral lists this ribosomal RNA (528 nucleotides) under uncultured archaeon. Its description in RNAcentral is "bacterial SSU rRNA". It matches the Rfam family "Archaeal small subunit ribosomal RNA", at positions 475 to 997 of the family's 1478-position model. The record is from RNAcentral.
ACCGGCGGCCCGAGUGGUGGAUCGUGAUUAUUGGGUCUAAAGGGUCCGGUAGCCGGUUUGGUCAGUCCUCCGGGAAAUCUGAUAGCUCAACUAUUAGGCUUUCGGGGGAUACUGCCAGACUUGGAACCGGGAGAGGUAAGAGGUACUACAGGGGUAGGAGUGAAAUCUUGUAAUCCCUGUGGGACCACCUGUGGCGAAGGCGUCUUACCAGAACGGGUCCGACGGUGAGGGACGAAAGCUGGGGGCACGAACCGGAUUAGAUACCCGGGUAGUCCCAGCCGUAAACGAUGCUCGCUAGGUGUCAGGCAUGGCGCGACCGUGUCUGGUGCCGCAGGGAAGCCGUGAAGCGAGCCACCUGGGAAGUACGGCCGCAAGGCUGAAACUUAAAGGAAUUGGCGGGGGAGCACAACAACGGGUGGAGCCCUGCGGUUUAAUUGGACUCAACGCCGGACAACUCACCGGGGGCGACAGCGAUAUGUAGGCCAAGCUGAAGACUUUGCCUGAAUCGCUGAGAGAAGUGGUGCAUGG